AGUGAACGCUGGCGGUAGGCCUAACACAUGCAAGUCGAACGGCAGCACAGUAAGCACUUGCUCUAGAGGGUGGCGCACGGAGGACGGGUGAGGAAUACAUCGGAAUCUACUUUUUCGGGGGGGAUAACGUAGGGAAACUUACGCUAAUACCGCAUACGACCUACGGGUGAAAGCAGGGGAUCUUCGGACUUUGCGCGAUUGAAUGAGCCGAUGUCGGAUUAGCUAGUUGGCGGGGUAAAGGCGCACCAAGGCGACGAUCCGUAGCUGGUCUGAGGGGAUGAAUCGCCACCUGGUAAGUGAGACUGGUCCCAGACUCUUACGCGGAGACACGGUGGGGAAUCUUGCGCGAUGGAGCAGAGCCUGAUCCAGCCAUACCGCGGAGGUGAAGAAGCACUUCUGGUUCGAAAGCCCUUUUGGUGGUAGAGAAAUGCAGCACGUUAAUCCGCCGCGAUACUGACGGUACCCAAAGAAUAAGCACCGGCUAACUUCGUG
RNAcentral lists this ribosomal RNA (492 nucleotides) under uncultured bacterium. RNAcentral describes it as "partial 16S ribosomal RNA". It matches the Rfam family "Bacterial small subunit ribosomal RNA", at positions 29 to 507 of the family's 1533-position model. The record is from RNAcentral.